UGGGGAAUUUUGGACAAUGGGCGCAAGCCUGAUCCAGCAAUGCCGCGUGCAGGAUGAAGGCCUUCGGGUUGUAAACUGCUUUUGUACGGAACGAAAAGCCCUGGGUUAAUACCCUGGGGUCAUGACGGUACCGUAAGAAUAAGCACCGGCUAACUACGUGCCAGCAGCCGCGGUAAUACGUAGGGUGCGAGCGUUAAUCGGAAUUACUGGGCGUAAAGCGUGCGCAGGCGGUUUUGUAAGACAGAGGUGAAAUCCCCGGGCUCAACCUGGGAACUGCCUUUGUGACUGCAAGGCUAGAGUACGGCAGAGGGGGAUGGAAUUCCGCGUGUAGCAGUGAAAUGCGUAGAUAUGCGGAGGAACACCGAUGGCGAAGGCAAUACCCUGGGCCUGUACUGACGCUCAUGCACGAAAGCGUGGGGGAGCAAACAGGAUUAGAUACCCCUGGUAGUCCACGCCCUAAACGAUGUCAACUGGUUGUUGGGUCUUAACUGACUCAGUAACGAAGCUAACGCGUGAAGUUGACCGCCUGGGGAGUACGGCCGCAAGGUUGAAACUUAAAUGAAUUGACGGGGUCAUAGCUGUUUCCU
Molecule: ribosomal RNA, 587 nt
Filed under: uncultured bacterium
Lineage: Bacteria
Description: partial 16S ribosomal RNA
Rfam family: Bacterial small subunit ribosomal RNA
Source: RNAcentral